Molecule: ribosomal RNA, 440 nt
Filed under: uncultured bacterium
Lineage: Bacteria
Description: partial 16S ribosomal RNA
Rfam family: Bacterial small subunit ribosomal RNA
Source: RNAcentral
CCUACGGGAGGCAGCAGUGGGGAAUAUUGCUCAAUGGGCGAAACCCUGAAGCAGCAACGCCGCGUGGAGGAUGAAGGUUUUCGGAUUGUAAACUCCUUUUGUUAGAGAAGAUAAUUCCGGUAUCUAACGAAUAAGCACCGGAUAACUCCGUGACAGCAGCCGCGGUAAUACGGAGGGUGCGAGCGUUACUCGGAAUCACUGGGCGUAAAGAGCGCGUAGGCGGGAUAGCAAGUCAGAUGUGAAAUCCUAUGGCUUAACCAUAGAACUGCAUUUGAAACUGGUAUUCUAGAGUAUGGGAGAGGUAGGUGGAAUUCGUGGUGUAGGGGUAAAAUCCGUAGAGAUCAAGAGGAAUACUCAUUGCGAAGGCGACCUGCUAGAACAUAACUGACGCUGAUGCGCGAAAGCGUGGGUAGCAAACAGGAUUAGAUACCCGUGUAGUC